UGAGGAAUAUUGGGCAAUGCCCGCAAGGGUGACCCAGCAACGCCGCGUGGAGGAUGAAUGUCGUAAGAUUGUAAACUCCUGUUAGAGGGGAAGAAUAGUACCGGUUGGACCGGUAUAUGACUGUACCCUCAGAGAAAGCCCCGGCUAACUACGUGCCAGCAGCCGCGGUAAUACGUAGGGGGCAAGCGUUGUCCGGAUUUACUGGGUGUAAAGGGCGCGCAGGCGGGAUAAAAAGUCAGUGGUGAAAUCCUACAGCUUAACUGUAGAACUGCCUUUGAUACGUUUAUUCUUGAGUUCGGGAGAGGGAGACGGAAUUCCAGGUGUAGUGGUGAAAUACGUAGAUAUCUGGAAGAACACCAGUUGCGAAGGCGGUCUCUUGGUCCGACACUGACGCUGAGGCGCGAAAGCGUGGGGAGCAAACA
This 422-nucleotide ribosomal RNA is filed under the name uncultured bacterium. RNAcentral describes it as "bacterial SSU rRNA". It matches the Rfam family "Bacterial small subunit ribosomal RNA", at positions 355 to 774 of the family's 1533-position model. The record is from RNAcentral.